Non-coding RNA from Microthyrium microscopicum, 89 nucleotides. NCBI's taxonomy places the organism in Eukaryota, Fungi, Ascomycota, Dothideomycetes, Microthyriales, Microthyriaceae. The record is from the annotation of a GenBank genome assembly.
UCCUCUAUGGCACAAUUGGCUAGCGCGUCAGACUGUUACUAUUCAUAUGUAUAAUCUGGAGGUUCGUGGUUCAAGCCCACGUGGAGGAG